Molecule: unclassified non-coding RNA, 202 nt
Filed under: uncultured Rhizophagus
Lineage: Eukaryota; Fungi; Glomeromycota; Glomeromycetes; Glomerales; Glomeraceae
Description: partial internal transcribed spacer 2
Source: RNAcentral
UGUUAAUAAAAAUCGGUGCGUUGCAAUUUUUGUGAUGUUCCGGAGUUUGAGUUAUCUUUAUCUUCUGGGUUUAAGAGGCUUAAAAUUGACCUUCUUUGUGCAUUUUAGACGUACAUAAAUUUUUUUUUAUUCGUUUAUCUUAAUGCCAAAAUCUAUUAGAUGCGACCAUAUCGUGUGGUUCCGUGUCUAUAAAUUUUUCAUG